This 492-nucleotide ribosomal RNA is filed under the name uncultured bacterium. RNAcentral describes it as "partial 16S ribosomal RNA". The stretch from base 56 to 492 matches the Rfam family "Bacterial small subunit ribosomal RNA", at positions 35 to 507 of the family's 1533-position model. The record is from RNAcentral.
GGGGGGGGGGGGGGGUGGGGGGGGGGGGGGGGGGGGGGGGGGGGGCGGAGGGGGAGCGGGCGGGGGGGGGGGGCGGGGGGGGGGCGGGGGGGGGAUAGGGCGGAGUCUGCGGUUGCGGGGGGGAGAACGGAGGGAGACGUAGGGUAAUACCGCAUACGACCUACGGGUGAGAGCCGGGGAUCUUGGAACCUUGCGAGAUUUCGUGAGACGGUGUCGGGUUAGCUAGUUGGCGGGGUAAAGGCCCACCAAGGCGACGAUCCGUAGCUGGUCUGAGAGGAUGAUCAGCCACACUGGAACUGAGACACGGUCCAGACUCCUACGGGAGGCAGCAGUGGGGAAUAUUGGACAAUGGGCGCAAGCCUGAUCCAGCCAUACCGCGUGGGUGAAGAAGGCCUUCGGGUUGUAAAGCCCUUUUGUUGGGAAAGAAAAGCAGCAGGUUAAUACCCCGCUGUUCUGACGGUACCCAAAGAAUAAGCACCGGCUAACUUCGUG